CAGCCAUGCCGCGUGUGUGAAGAAGGCCACGGGUUGUAAAGCACUUUCAGCGAGGAGGAAAGGUUGGCGCCUAAUACGCGUCAACUGUGACGUUACUCGCAGAAGAAGCACCGGCUAACUCCGUGCCAGCAGCCGCGGUAAUACGGAGGGUGCAAGCGUUAAUCGGAAUUACUGGGCGUAAAGCGCACGCAGGCGGUUGGAUAAGUUAGAUGUGAAAGCCCCGGGCUCAACCUGGGAAUUGCAUUUAAAACUGUCCAGCUAGAGUCUUGUAGAGGGGGGUAGAACUCCAGGUGUAGCGGUGAAAUGCGUAGAGAUCUGGAGGAAUGCCGGUGGCGAAGGCGGCCCCCAGGACAAAGACUGACGCUCAGGUGCGAAAGCGUGGGGAGCAAACAGGACUAGAUACCCUGGUAGUCCACGCCGUAAACGAUGUCGAUUUGGAGGCCGUGUCCUUGAGACGUGGCUUCCGGAGCUAACGCGUUAAAUCGACCGCCUGGGGAGUACGGCCGCAAGGUUAAAACUCAAAUGAAUUGACGGGGGCCCGCACAAGCGGUGGAGCACGUGGUUUAACUCGAUGCAACGCGAAGAACCUUACCUGGCCUUGACAUGUCUGGAAUCCUGCAGAGAU
Molecule: ribosomal RNA, 625 nt
Filed under: Aeromonas sp. Ri2Pw_6134
Lineage: Bacteria; Pseudomonadati; Pseudomonadota; Gammaproteobacteria; Aeromonadales; Aeromonadaceae
Description: bacterial SSU rRNA
Rfam family: Bacterial small subunit ribosomal RNA
Source: RNAcentral